Small nucleolar RNA from Otolemur garnettii (small-eared galago), 135 nucleotides. Its record names the gene SNORA70. It matches the Rfam family "Small nucleolar RNA SNORA70". Rfam says of the family: snoRNA U70 seems to be exclusive to mammals and is a member of the H/ACA class of snoRNA which contain H (ANANNA) and ACA box motifs. H/ACA box snoRNAs are involved in the conversion of uridines to pseudouridines (5-ribosyluracil) a constituent of structural RNAs (transfer, ribosomal, small nuclear, and small nucleolar). Lineage: Eukaryota; Metazoa; Chordata; Mammalia; Primates; Galagidae. The record is from Ensembl.
CUGCAGCUAAUUAAGCAAAUCAUGCUCCUUUCCUCAUGGGGGUCUGGAGUGCAAUGGCUGCAAAUAGCAGCCUCCUAUGUAGUAUAUGCAGCCUGUUGCUUAUAUACGUUGCUCUAAGGGAUCUCAGAGACAUUC